UACGUAGGGGGCAAGCGUUGUCCGGAAUCAUUGGGCGUAAAGCGCGUGUAGGCGGCUCGGUAAGUCUGCUCUGAAAGCCCGGGGCUCAACCCUGGGAGGCGGGUGGAUACUGCUGAGCUCGAGUCCGGAAGAGGCGAGUGGAAUUCCUGGUGUAGCGGUGAAAUGCGCAGAUAUCAGGAGGAACACCAAUGGCGAAGGCAGCUCGCUGGGACGGUACUGACGCUGAGACGCGAAAGCGUGGGGAGCAAACAGG
This 253-nucleotide ribosomal RNA is filed under the name uncultured bacterium. RNAcentral describes it as "partial 16S ribosomal RNA". It matches the Rfam family "Bacterial small subunit ribosomal RNA", at positions 524 to 776 of the family's 1533-position model. The record is from RNAcentral.